UACAGAGGUCUCAACCGUUGUUCGGAUUCAUUGGGCGUAAAGGGUGCGUAGGCGGUCGGGUAAGUCGGAUGUGAAAUCUCAGGGCUCACCCUGAAACUGCAUUCGAUACUGCCUGGCUAGGGUACUGGAGAGGAGACUGGAAUUUACGGUGUAGCAGUGAAAUGCGUAGAUAUCGUAAGGAAGACCAGUGGCGAAGGCGAGUCUCUGGACAGUUACCGACGCUGAGGCACGAAGGUCAGGGGAGCGAACGGG
This 252-nucleotide ribosomal RNA is filed under the name uncultured bacterium. RNAcentral describes it as "partial 16S ribosomal RNA". It matches the Rfam family "Bacterial small subunit ribosomal RNA", at positions 524 to 776 of the family's 1533-position model. The record is from RNAcentral.